UGUCAGAAGUGGGAUUCGAACCCACGCCCACAUUCGUGGACCAGAACACUCAGCCCUGCAGCAGGGGAAGGUUUUCCCUUGAGUCUGGCGCCUUAGACCGCUCGGCCAUCCUGAC
Araneus ventricosus is the source of this 115-nucleotide non-coding RNA. The record is from the annotation of a GenBank genome assembly. Lineage: Eukaryota; Metazoa; Arthropoda; Arachnida; Araneae; Araneidae.